GGUUAAGCGACUAAGCGUACACGGUGGAUGCCCUGGCAGUCAGAGGCGAUGAAGGACGUGCUAAUCUGCGAAAAGCGUCGGUAAGGUGAUAUGAACCGUUAUAACCGGCGAUGUCCGAAUGGGGAAACCCAGUGUGAUUCGUCACACUAUCGUUAACUGAAUACAUAGGUUAACGAGGCGAACCGGGGGAACUGAAACAUCUAAGUACCCCGAGGAAAAGAAAUCAACCGAGAUUCCCCCAGUAGCGGCGAGCGAACGGGGAGCAGCCCAGAGUCUGAAUCAGCUUGUGUGUUAGUGGAACGGUCUGGAAAGUCCGACGGUACAGGGUGAUAGUCCCGUACACCAAAAUGCACAGGUUGUGAACUCGAAGAGUAGGGCGGGACACGUGGUAUCCUGUCUGAAUAUGGGGGGACCAUCCUCCAAGGCUAAAUACUCCUGACUGACCGAUAGUGAACCAGUACCGUGAGGGAAAGGCGAAAAGAACCCCGGCGAGGGGAGUGAAAAAGAACCUGAAACCGUGUACGUACAAGCAGUGGGAGCACCUUCGGGUGUGACUGCGUACCUUUUGUAUAAUGGGUCAGCGACUUAUAUUCUGUAGCAAGGUUAACCGUAUAGGGGAGCCGCAGGGAAACCGAGUCUUAACUGGGCGUUAAGUUGCAGGGUAUAGACCCGAAACCCGGUGAUCUAGCCAUGGGCAGGUUGAAGGUUGGGUAACACUAACUGGAGGACCGAACCGACUAAUGUUGAAAAAUUAGCGGAUGACUUGUGGCUGGGGGUGAAAGGCCAAUCAAACCGGGAGAUAGCUGGUUCUCCCCGAAAGCUAUUUAGGUAGCGCCUCGUGAACUCAUCUUCGGGGGUAGAGCACUGUUUCGGCUAGGGGGUCAUCCCGACUUACCAACCCGAUGCAAACUACGAAUACCGAAGAAUGUUAUCACGGGAGACACACGGCGGGUGCUAACGUCCGUCGUGAAGAGGGAAACAACCCAGACCGCCAGCUAAGGUCCCAAAGUCAUGGUUAAGUGGGAAACGAUGUGGGAAGGCACAGACAGCCAGGAUGUUGGCUUAGAAGCAGCCAUCAUUUAAAGAAAGCGUAAUAGCUCACUGGUCGAGUCGGCCUGCGCGGAAGAUGUAACGGGGCUAAACCAUGCACCGAAGCUGCGGCAGCGACACUAUGUGUUGUUGGGUAGGGGAGCGUUCUGUAAGCCUGCGAAGGUGACCUGUGAGGGUUGCUGGAGGUAUCAGAAGUGCGAAUGCUGACAUAAGUAACGAUAAAGCGGGUGAAAAGCCCGCUCGCCGGAAGACCAAGGGUUCCUGUCCAACGUUAAUCGGGGCAGGGUGAGUCGACCCCUAAGGCGAGGCCGAAAGGCGUAGUCGAUGGGAAACAGGUUAAUAUUCCUGUACUUGGUGUUACUGCGAAGGGGGGACGGAGAAGGCUAUGUUAGCCGGGCGACGGUUGUCCCGGUUUAAGCAUGUAGGCUGGUUGUCCAGGCAAAUCCGGAUAAUCAAGGCUGAGGUGUGAUGACGAGGCACUACGGUGCUGAAGUAACAAAUGCCCUGCUUCCAGGAAAAGCCUCUAAGCAUCAGGUAACAUCAAAUCGUACCCCAAACCGACACAGGUGGUCAGGUAGAGAAUACCAAGGCGCUUGAGAGAACUCGGGUGAAGGAACUAGGCAAAAUGGUGCCGUAACUUCGGGAGAAGGCACGCUGGUGUGUAGGUGAAGUCCCUGCGGAUGGAGCUGAGACCAGUCGAAGAUACCAGCUGGCUGCAACUGUUUAUUAAAAACACAGCACUGUGCAAACACGAAAGUGGACGUAUACGGUGUGACGCCUGCCCGGUGCCGGAAGGUUAAUUGAUGGGGUUAUCCGUAAGGAGAAGCUCUUGAUCGAAGCCCCGGUAAACGGCGGCCGUAACUAUAACGGUCCUAAGGUAGCGAAAUUCCUUGUCGGGUAAGUUCCGACCUGCACGAAUGGCGUAAUGAUGGCCAGGCUGUCUCCACCCGAGACUCAGUGAAAUUGAACUCGCUGUGAAGAUGCAGUGUACCCGCGGCAAGACGGAAAGACCCCGUGAACCUUUACUAUAGCUUGACACUGAACAUUGAGCCUUGAUGUGUAGGAUAGGUGGGAGGCUUUGAAGCGUGGACGCCAGUCUGCGUGGAGCCAACCUUGAAAUACCACCCUUUAAUGUUUGAUGUUCUAACGUUGGCCCCUGACCGGGGUUGCGGACAGUGUCUGGUGGGUAGUUUGACUGGGGCGGUCUCCUCCCAAAGCGUAACGGAGGAGCACGAAGGUUAGCUAAUCCUGGUCGGACAUCAGGAGGUUAGUGCAAUGGCAUAAGCUAGCUUGACUGCGAGCGUGACGGCGCGAGCAGGUGCGAAAGCAGGUCAUAGUGAUCCGGUGGUUCUGAAUGGAAGGGCCAUCGCUCAACGGAUAAAAGGUACUCCGGGGAUAACAGGCUGAUACCGCCCAAGAGUUCAUAUCGACGGCGGUGUUUGGCACCUCGAUGUCGGCUCAUCACAUCCUGGGGCUGAAGUAGGUCCCAAGGGUAUGGCUGUUCGCCAUUUAAAGUGGUACGCGAGCUGGGUUUAGAACGUCGUGAGACAGUUCGGUCCCUAUCUGCCGUGGGCGCUGGAGAAUUGAGGGGGGCUGCUCCUAGUACGAGAGGACCGGAGUGGACGCAUCACUGGUGUUCGGGUUGUCAUGCCAAUGGCACUGCCCGGUAGCUAAAUGCGGAAGAGAUAAGUGCUGAAAGCAUCUAAGCACGAAACUUGCCCCGAGAUGAGUUCUCCCUGAGACUUUAAGUCUCCUGAAGGAACGUU
Molecule: ribosomal RNA, 2816 nt
Filed under: Klebsiella pneumoniae
Lineage: Bacteria; Pseudomonadati; Pseudomonadota; Gammaproteobacteria; Enterobacterales; Enterobacteriaceae
Description: partial 23S ribosomal RNA
Rfam family: Bacterial large subunit ribosomal RNA
Source: RNAcentral